AUUGAACGCUGGCGGCAUGCCUUACACAUGCAAGUCGAGCGGCAGCGCGGGGGUAACCCUGGCGGCGAGCGGCGGACGGGUGAGUAAUACAUCGGAACGUGUCCUUUCGUGGGGGAUAACCAGUCGAAAGACUGGCUAAUACCGCAUGAGAUCGCAAGAUGAAAGCGAGGGACCCGCAAGGGCCUCGCGCGAUUGGAGCGGCCGAUGUCGGAUUAGCAGUUGGCGGGGUAAAGCCCACCAAGGCAACGAUCCGUAGCUGGUUUGAGAGAACGACCAGCCACACUGGGACUGAGACACGGCCCAGACUCCUACGGGAGGCAGCAGUGGGGAAUUUGGACAAUGGGCGCAAGCCUGAUCCAGCCAUGCCGCGUGUGUGAAGAAGGCCUCGGUUGU
RNAcentral lists this ribosomal RNA (393 nucleotides) under uncultured bacterium. RNAcentral describes it as "bacterial SSU rRNA". It matches the Rfam family "Bacterial small subunit ribosomal RNA", at positions 29 to 426 of the family's 1533-position model. The record is from RNAcentral.